Molecule: non-coding RNA, 101 nt
Filed under: Candidatus Izimoplasma sp. HR1
Lineage: Bacteria; Bacillati; Mycoplasmatota; Mollicutes; Candidatus Izemoplasmatales; Candidatus Izemoplasmataceae
Description: Candidatus Izimaplasma sp. HR1 Purine riboswitch aptamer
Rfam family: Purine riboswitch aptamer
About the family: Riboswitches are metabolite binding domains within certain messenger RNAs that serve as precision sensors for their corresponding targets. Allosteric rearrangement of mRNA structure is mediated by ligand binding, and this results in modulation of gene expression. A class of riboswitches that selectively recognises guanine and becomes saturated at concentrations as low as 5 nM.
Source: Rfam by way of RNAcentral
UAUUAUUAAAAUAGUUGGUAUUAUAUAUGAUCGAAAAUAUGGUUCGAUUGUCUCUACCCUGUGCCGUAAACAACAGGACUAUGAUACUUAUACAAUAAAAA